RNAcentral lists this ribosomal RNA (640 nucleotides) under uncultured archaeon. Its description in RNAcentral is "bacterial SSU rRNA". It matches the Rfam family "Archaeal small subunit ribosomal RNA", at positions 175 to 817 of the family's 1478-position model. The record is from RNAcentral.
AUGGCUUAUGGUCCAAACAGUUUACUGCCAUGGGAUGGGACUGCGGCCUAUCAGCUUGUUGGUGAGGUAAUGGCCCACCAAGGCGAUUACAGGUACGGGCUCUGAGAGGAGAAGCCCGGAGAUGGGUACUGAGACACGGACCCAGGCCCUAUGGGGCGCAGCAGGCGAGAAACCUUAGCAAUGUGCGAAAGCACGACUGGGUCAGUCCGAGUGAUUCCUGAUAAAGGAGUCUUUUGCUUGUCCUAAAAGCACAGGUGAAUAAGGGGUGGGCAAGUCUGGUGUCAGCCGCCGCGGUAAUACCAGCACCUCGAGUGGUCAGGACGUUUAUUGGGCCUAAAGCAUCCGUAGCCGGCUCUGCAAGUCUUCGGUUAAAUCCACCUGCUCAACAGAUGGGCCGCUGGAGAUACUACAGAGCUAGGGAGUGGGAGAGGCAGACGGUAUUCAGUGGGCAGGGGUAAAAUCCUCUGAUCCAUUGAGGACCACCAGUGGCGAAGGCGGUCUGCCAGAACACGUUCGACGGUGAGGGAUGAAAGCUGGGGGAGCAAACCGGAUUAGAUACCCGGGUAGUCCCAGCUGUAAACGAUGCAAACUCGGUGAUGCAUUGGCUUAUGGCCAAUGCAGUGCCGCAGGGAAGCCGUUA